AAGCAUUUUGUUGACACAUCUUCAUCACUUUGGAAUUUGAGCAACAACAUUUACCCCUUCUGAAACUCACCCAGAGGAAGUGGAUUUUCUGACGCAUAUGAAGAGUGAGAACUGUCUACAUCUAAGUUUUCUUUGAGAACAAUACCAGCUGAGUGGCUAUUUACAUUCCAGCUUCUUUUGAGAAUCUCUGAAGAUGAUUAAGUCAUUGUCAGCUGGCCCAGAACCAUAUCCUGCUCCACAAGCCUCGUCCUUGGCAAGAAGUUGCACCUGCCCAGAGAGAAAACCUUUUGAAACUGGCACAAAGGCACGGGAGAGACUGGCAGGGCCCCCUACUUGACGAUCUGGCUCAUCCAUCUGCACACUGACCACGCUAAGAGCUGUCUGCAGUGAUGGAAACCUUCUCUAGCUGUGCUGUCCUCUAUAGUGGCACUAGCCGCCUGUGGCUACUGAGCACUUCAACUGUGGCUGCAGAGACUAUGUUAAAUUGUAUUUAAUCAUAAUUAAUUUAAUUGUAAACAACCACAUGUGGCUAGUGGUUUCUGUACUGGGCACUGCAGGUGCACAUUUCCUACCUGGCCGUGCACAGUAGGCUCCAUAAGAGACUGAUUGUGCCUGGUUUGCUUAUAGGCUUAUCCUCAGCACCUGCACCAGCCUAGAAUAUGAUUGGCACUCUGUUAAUUAAAAGUUCCCAAGUAAAUGUA
This 701-nucleotide long non-coding RNA is filed under the name Pongo abelii (Sumatran orangutan). RNAcentral describes it as "lincRNA". The record is from RNAcentral. Lineage: Eukaryota; Metazoa; Chordata; Mammalia; Primates; Hominidae.